GUGUCAGCAGCCGCGGUAAUACGAAGGGUGCAAGCGUUAAUCGGAAUUACUGGGCGUAAAGCGUGCGUAGGCGGUUGGCUAAGUCAGAUGUGAAAGCCCUGGGCUCAACCUGGGAAUGGCAUUUGAAACUGGCCGGCUAGAGUGUGAUAGAGGAUGGCGGAAUUCCCGGUGUAGCGGUGAAAUGCGUAGAGAUCGGGAGGAACAUCCGUGGCGAAGGCGGCCAUCUGGAUCAACACUGACGCUGAGGCACGAAAGCGUGGGGAGCAAACAGGAUUAGAUACCCUAGUAGUCC
This 292-nucleotide ribosomal RNA is filed under the name uncultured bacterium. RNAcentral describes it as "partial 16S ribosomal RNA". It matches the Rfam family "Bacterial small subunit ribosomal RNA", at positions 505 to 796 of the family's 1533-position model. The record is from RNAcentral.